Molecule: ribosomal RNA, 460 nt
Filed under: uncultured bacterium
Lineage: Bacteria
Description: partial 16S ribosomal RNA
Rfam family: Bacterial small subunit ribosomal RNA
Source: RNAcentral
CCUACGGGUGGCAGCAGUGAGGAAUAUUGGUCAAUGGGCGAGAGCCUGAACCAGCCAAGUCGCGUGAAGGAUGAAGGAUCUAUGGUUGGUAAACUUCUUUUAUAUGGGAAUAAAGUGAGAAACGUGUUCCUUUUUGUAUGUACCAUAUGAAUAAGCAUCGGCUAACUCCGUGCCAGCAGCCGCGGUAAUUCGGAGGAUGCGAGCGUUAUCCGGAUUUCUUGGGUUUAAAGGGUGCGUAGGUGGGUAAUUAAGUCCGCGGUGAAAGUGUGUGGCUCAACCAUAAGAUUGCCGUUGAAACUGGGUGACUGGAGUGUAUUUGAGGCAGGCGGAAUGCGUGGUGUAGCGGUGAAAUGCAUAGAUAUCACGCAGAACUCCGAUUGCGAAGGCAGCAUACCAGCCUAUAACUGACGCUGAAGCACGAAAGCGUGGGUAUCGAACAGGAUUAGAUACCCCAGUAGUC